UCAAUGAAAAAGUCUCAUCAAUUUCUUAUUUGAUUUGAGAUUAUUUGAGACUUUAAUCCAUUUUGUGUUAUUUUUAAUUGUUUUUAAUUGUUUUUAAUUGCUUUCUGAUUUCAAAAUUUGAUUUGAGAAAAUUAGUCAAAGUUUGUUUGACUAUGUUGAACCUAUGAGAAUUUAAUUGGACUUUUUGAAGUUGAUUUGAAUUGAAUUUGAGGUUUGACCUUAUUU
Molecule: long non-coding RNA, 225 nt
Filed under: Lathyrus oleraceus (garden pea)
Lineage: Eukaryota; Viridiplantae; Streptophyta; Magnoliopsida; Fabales; Fabaceae
Description: Pisum sativum (pea) long non-coding RNA (PSAT_LNC030075)
Source: RNAcentral